AAGGCAGCAGUGGGGAAUAUUGCACAAUGGGCGCAAGCCUGAUGCAGCCAUGCCGCGUGUAUGAAGAAGGCCUUCGGGUUGUAAAGUACUUUCAGUCGUGAGGAAGGUGUUAAGGUUAAUAACCUUAGCAAUUGACGUUAGCGACAGAAGAAGCACCGGCUAACUCCGUGCCAGCAGCCGCGGUAAUACGGAGGGUGCGAGCGUUAAUCGGAAUUACUGGGCGUAAAGGGCACGCAGGCGGUUAAUUAAGUUGGAUGUGAAAUCCCCGGGCUUAACCUGGGAAUGGCAUUCAAGACUGGUUAGCUAGAGUCUUGUAGAGGGGGUAGAAUUCCAUGUGUAGCGGUGAAAUGCGUAGAGAUGUGGAGGAAUACCGGUGGCGAAGGCGGCCCCUGGGACAAAGACUGACGCUCAUGUGCGAAAGCGUGGGGAGCAAACAGGAUUAGAUACC
Molecule: ribosomal RNA, 448 nt
Filed under: uncultured bacterium
Lineage: Bacteria
Description: bacterial SSU rRNA
Rfam family: Bacterial small subunit ribosomal RNA
Source: RNAcentral